AAUUUAGAUAACUCAAAGCAACAUUUUUCCUGAUUUCUUCAUACCAAAGGUGGUCACACAUGCAGACGUUGGAAAUUUUCUUUCAACUGCUGGAAAAGCAAGGCUGUUGAAGCAGAAAUUGACUUCUGAUACUGUUUCCAUCUGGGAUUCUGAUGACAGGAUUUGAUUAGAAACUGGGCCUGUACCGUCGGGAUCUGGCAUCUACAUGUUCCUUUUUUCAAGGCACUACUUCGUUCUCCCGAUGUCCUGCUCAGCUUAAACAGUGAGUUUUAGCCCCUGAUUAUUUCUCUCCUCAUUCCCAUCCUCUGCUGUUUCUACUCCACAAUAUUUUUGGCAAUUGUUGCUCAAUGAUAUGGCAUCACAGGAAGGAGACAGCAUGCAGGCAUCAGACAGGACUCGGGCGGGUCGUUUCCAACAUCACUACCUUCCUCCGAUUCUAUCCCAGGCUUUGGACUGAUGGACUGUUGGCCCACUGUAAGAUAGUCUCUCUUAAUUUUGACGUUUGUGAAGCUCCUGUUCCUCCUGGAGCAUACAGUGAAUCGAGAGAGGGUCACAGACUAGCAUUUGCUAAUAAGAGGGAGGAAAACAGAAGGGAGGAAGGAGAUGAAGCAAAGAUGAAAACAGGAAGGAGGGACAGGAAAAAAUGAGGAGGGUCAGAAAGGAAAAUAGAACAGAAAAAGCAGACACACACAAAUUUUAAGAAAAGAAUGAAGACGCUGAAUGACCUUUCAGGAAGCGGAUGGAGAAGGAAGUGGCAAAUUCUUAAAACGCAGAGGAGAAAUCUCUGCAGUUCGUGAACAAGCAUGGCAGAAGUGAAAUCUGCUGAAUAGUUCUUGAGUUGGGUUACGGUAUUUGCCAAGUAAAUGGGAUGAAUACCAUGAUGGUUAUUUGAAAAUAAUGGUAAAAGUCUGAGGUAAAACACUUGAAAUACAUUUGGCAGGAAAUAACUUCCAUCUCUACUUGUGGGCAUGGACACUGAAAGUCACAUCAUUCACCAUCGUUCAUAUCAUGGUGAGGUGCUUUCGAGAAGAUCACGAGGAGACAGAAAGCAUCUCUUCAUCUCCAGAUUUAAAGUAGAUGGUUUUGCAUGUAACAUCAGAUCACAUGAGAAUUUCGUUGUGAUUUUUUGUCUAACAAGUUAUAUGACAGGUUUGUGCUGUGUGUGAGGAAAGGACAAGUUCUGUUGCCCCUGUUGCUUGUGGGUGGGCAGUGACGGGGCUGGCAGGAAAGAGAAGUCUUUCUUCAUCCGUAUUGUGCGGGUAAGGACCCACAUCCUCUGUGCUCUGGGGGACCUCGAGCUUCAAGAGGCUGAGGGGUCCUGGAGGUUGCAGAGUUCUCUUGAACAAUCCAGUCUCUUCUCUGCCUCUGACAUAAUUCCCGGAAUUUGAGUUAGACCUAGAAGGAGUUAUUAGCAAUUCUAAAAGUCGACCUUUCAUCUUCAGGAGUGAGAACUGUUAAAGGUGUCUCCUGAGACAGACAGUGGAGAAGCAGAGUCCAUACGAAAACACAGGGCAGGUGAUCGUUAGUGUAAUGUUUGUCUCACAUCUGCAAUGACAAUCAAUGUGUGUUCCACAAAGUUCUAGGCUGACACCAGACCCCCAGUCCUCAUUCCACAGAGCAGGCCUACUUUUAUCUGUUUUAUGCCAAGAUAUUGGGGGGGGGGUGGAUUUUAUUUUAAUAAACGGUCUUGAAAAUUCUUUUUUUAAAUUACUGCUCUGACAUAGGACAUUUACGUUAUUGAAUUACGUUAAUAACCUCUUGCUCUCUGCAAAAGCCAUCGCCGCCCAGCUGAGCAGCUAUUCCUGAAGUUUUGGCCAAAACCCUGUAGCACUGAAAAGCCUCUCCUUGACCAGGGAACCAAAUAUGCUGACACCAAGCAAGGCCACUGUGCUCUUAUCAGGAGAGGGGAAGAGUUCUUAACCCCCCGUGCAAAGUGCCCCAGCCCGAAUACUGCUUACAACAGAGAAUUUAUUAGAAAAACUAGGUAGGCUUUAAUUCAGGUUUUUAAAAAUGUACACUUAUUGGACAGCCUUUGACCAAAGCACAAACAUAAAUCAACAUAAGCUGGGCUGGAGCAUCCUCUGGGUUGGAUUUAUAAUCAGCCCCUUCCCUUGCCACGAGGCGUUACUCUUGGACCAGAUCCAUAUGCCUUGAUUCUCUCUUUGCUUUUGAAGAGUUGUCUUACCAAGGACUUUGAAUCUGCAAACAAAUAGGAGCCUCCCUCAUCUGGACACGCCUAAUUUUUGUCAGAAGGCUGGUGUGAACUCAGCUCAUUUGUAAACACGCUUUGCCCUCUCUUAAUCUGGUCAGCUGCCAUAACAGAAUACCACAGACUGGUUGGCUUGAACAGCAGAAAUUUAUUUUCUCACAGUUCUGUAGGCUGGAAGUCCAGUGUCAGGGGGCCAGCAGGGCCCCUUGAUCCUGAAAUCAGGAUUUCUAGUUUCUAGUGAAAUCUCUCUUCUUGGCUUAAAACAGCCACCAUGCGUCCUGUGUUCCCAUGAGGUCUUUCCUCUGGGCACCCGUGGAGGGAACAGACUCUGGUGUCUCUUCCUCUUCUUAAAAGGACACCAGCCCCAUCAGAUCAGAGCUCCACCCUCAUGACCUCAUUUAACCUUGAAUACCUCCAUAAUAGCCCUAUUUCCUAAUGCAAUAACACUGGGGCUUGGUGCUUUGACCAAGGAAUUUGGAGGGGACACAGUUCAGUCCAUAGCAGUCCCUCUUGCAAAUUUUAACUGGCAAGAAAAAGUUGAAUAUGAAUCCAAACUUUUGGCACCGAAGAAAGUUAUUUUAAGGCAGUUGGAGUACCUGAAGAGUGCUUGGAGCUGGUGUGAGAGCCAAGUAAAGGAGAUCCGCAGAGAAAAUAAUUCAAGAACAUUCAAGUUAUACCUGAAACUCCACCUGAGUUUUUGAAAAAUAGCACAACUGAGCUGUAAGUAAAAAUAAUUAAAUAACUGUGUAAAUAAACUGGGUUUCGCUUCCAACGUGGGUCUUAGAUUGAUCUGCCUCUAUAGUUGAUAACAUCAAGAUACCUUGUAUUGUAAUUGUGUUGAACAACUCCCUGCUGCUUU
This is a long non-coding RNA of Physeter macrocephalus (sperm whale), 3068 nucleotides long. RefSeq lists it as uncharacterized. Lineage: Eukaryota; Metazoa; Chordata; Mammalia; Artiodactyla; Physeteridae. The transcript has 3 exons. The record is from RefSeq and is a predicted model, not a curated record.